RNAcentral lists this ribosomal RNA (450 nucleotides) under uncultured bacterium. RNAcentral's name for it is "partial 16S ribosomal RNA". It matches the Rfam family "Bacterial small subunit ribosomal RNA", at positions 338 to 795 of the family's 1533-position model. The record is from RNAcentral.
CCUACGGGGGGCUGCAGUAAGGAAUAUUGGUCAAUGGAGGAAACUCUGAACCAGCCAUCCCGCGUGAAGGAUGAAGGGGCUCUGCCUUGUAAACUUCUUUUGUCUGGGGCGAAAAAGCUCGAUUUAUCGAGAACUGACGGUACCAGAAGAAUAAGCACCGGCUAACUCCGUGCCAGCAGCCGCGGUAAUACGGAGGGUGCAAGCGUCACUGGGAAUCACGGGGUCGAAAGCGGCUUUGUAAGUCUGUGGUGAACGGCUGUGGCUUAACCAUGGAAUUGCCAUUGAUACUGCAGAGCUUGAAUGAGGUUGAGGUUGGCGGAAUGUGACAUGUAGCGGUGAAAUGCUUAGAUAUGUCAUGGAACACUGAUUGCGAAGGCAGCUGACUGGACCUAUAUUGACGCUGAGGCACGAAAGCGUGGGGAGCGAACAGGAUUAGAUACCCCAGUAGUC